Molecule: ribosomal RNA, 1342 nt
Filed under: uncultured bacterium
Lineage: Bacteria
Description: 16S ribosomal RNA
Rfam family: Bacterial small subunit ribosomal RNA
Source: RNAcentral
GACGAACGCUGGCGGCGUGCUUAACACAUGCAAGUCGAACGGAAAGGCCCUGCUUUUGUGGGGUGCUCGAGUGGCGAACGGGUGAGUAACACGUGAGUAACCUGCCCUUGACUUUGGGAUAACUUCAGGAAACUGGGGCUAAUACCGGAUAGGAGCUCCUGCUGCAUGGUGGGGGUUGGAAAGUUUCGGCGGUUGGGGAUGGACUCGCGGCUUAUCAGCUUGUUGGUGGGGUAGUGGCUUACCAAGGCUUUGACGGGUAGCCGGCCUGAGAGGGUGACCGGCCACAUUGGGACUGAGAUACGGCCCAGACUCCUACGGGAGGCAGCAGUGGGGAAUAUUGCACAAUGGGCGGAAGCCUGAUGCAGCAACGCCGCGUGCGGGAUGACGGCCUUCGGGUUGUAAACCGCUUUCGCCUGUGACGAAGCGUGAGUGACGGUAAUGGGUAAAGAAGCACCGGCUAACUACGUGCCAGCAGCCGCGGUGAUACGUAGGGUGCGAGCGUUGUCCGGAUUUAUUGGGCGUAAAGGGCUCGUAGGUGGUUGAUCGCGUCGGAAGUGUAAUCUUGGGGCUUAACCCUGAGCGUGCUUUCGAUACGGGUUGACUUGAGGAAGGUAGGGGAGAAUGGAAUUCCUGGUGGAGCGGUGGAAUGCGCAGAUAUCAGGAGGAACACCAGUGGCGAAGGCGGUUCUCUGGGCCUUUCCUGACGCUGAGGAGCGAAAGCGUGGGGAGCGAACAGGCUUAGAUACCCUGGUAGUCCACGCUGUAAACGGUGGGUACUAGGUGUGGGGUCCAUUCCACGGGUUCCGUGCCGUAGCUAACGCUUUAAGUACCCCGCCUGGGGAGUACGGCCGCAAGGCUAAAACUCAAAGGAUUGACGGGGCCCCGCACAAGCGGCGGAGCAUGCGGAUUAAUUCGAUGCAACGCGUAGAACCUUACCUGGGUUUGACUUGGAUCGGGAGUGCUCAGAGAUGGGUGUGCCUCUUUUGGGGUCGGUUCACGGGUGGUGCAUGGCUGUCGUCAGCUCGUGUCGUGAGAUGUUGGGUUAAGUCCCGCAACGAGCGCAACCCUUGUUCACUGUUGCCAGCACGUUAUGGUGGGGACUCAGUGGAGACCGCCGGGGUCAACUCGGAGGAAGGUGGGGAUGACGUCAAGUCAUCAUGCCCCUUAUGUCCAGGGCUUCACGCAUGCUACAAUGGCUGGUACAGAGAGUGGCGAGCCUGUGAGGGUGAGCGAAUCUCGGAAAGCCGGUCUCAGUUCGGAUUGGGGUCUGCAACUCGACCUCAUGAAGUCGGAGUCGCUAGUAAUCGCAGAUCAGCAACGCUGCGGUGAAUACGUUCCCGGG